RNAcentral lists this ribosomal RNA (329 nucleotides) under uncultured eukaryote. Its description in RNAcentral is "partial 18S ribosomal RNA". It matches the Rfam family "Eukaryotic small subunit ribosomal RNA", at positions 1470 to 1796 of the family's 1831-position model. The record is from RNAcentral.
CCCUUAGAUGUUCUGGGCCGCACGCGCGCUACACUGUUUGAUUCAGCGAGUCUUAACCUUGACCGAAAGGUUUGGGUAAUCUUCUAAAGUCAAACGUGAUGGGGAUCGAUCAUUGCAAUUAUUGAUCGUGAACGAGGAAUUCCUAGUAAAUGCAAGUCAUCAGCUUGCGUUGAUUACGUCCCUGCCCUUUGUACACACCGCCCGUCGCUACUACCGAUUGAAUGGUUUAGUGAGAUCUCCGGAUUGGCUCUGUAGGUCCCGCAAGGGAUUUAUUAGUAGCCAAGAAGCUGCUCAAACUUGAUCAUUUAGAGGAAGUAAAAGUCGGAACA